CGGCUUCCUACGGGAGGCAGCAGUAGGGAAUAUUGCGCAAUGGACGAAAGUCUGACGCAGCAACGCCGCGUGGAUGAUGAAGCAUCUUGGUGUGUAAAAUCCUGUCAGUAGGGAAGAAACGUAUUGGUAGUAACUGACCAGUGCCUGACGGUACCUACAGAGGAAGUCCCGGCUAACUCCGUGCCAGCAGCCGCGGUAAUACGGGGGGGACAAGCGUUGUUCGGAUUUACUGGGCGUAAAGGGCGCGUAGGCGGGCCCACAAGUCGGAUGUGAAAACUGGUAGCUUAACUACCAGCCUGCAUCCGAUACUGUGGAUCUUGAGUGCAGAAGAGGAAAGCGGAAUUCCAGGUGUAGCGGUGAAAUGCGUAGAUAUCUGGAAGAACACCAGCAGCGAAGGCGGCUUUCUGGUCUGACACUGACGCUAAAGCGCGAAGGCUUGGGUAGCAAACGGGAUUAGAUACCCCAGUAGUCCAAGCCG
Molecule: ribosomal RNA, 478 nt
Filed under: uncultured bacterium
Lineage: Bacteria
Description: bacterial SSU rRNA
Rfam family: Bacterial small subunit ribosomal RNA
Source: RNAcentral